This 76-nucleotide transfer RNA is filed under the name Acidobacteriota bacterium. RNAcentral describes it as "Acidobacteria bacterium (sediment metagenome) tRNA-Gly". It matches the Rfam family "tRNA". Rfam says of the family: Transfer RNA (tRNA) molecules are approximately 80 nucleotides in length. Lineage: Bacteria; Pseudomonadati; Acidobacteriota. The record is from RNAcentral.
GCGGGAGUAACUCAGUGGCUAGAGUCACGGCCUUCCAAGCCGUUGGUCGCGGGUUCGAAUCCCGUCUCCCGCUCCU